AUUUACCUUUAGUCAUAAAUCUCUGAAGUAAUCUUAUGUUAAUACACUUAAAAUUGCAAGGAAUGAUCAUAUUUCUUAAAACGGAGGGUACCAAGCUAUAAAUUCUUACUGAAUAAACGUAAUUUAGACUUUGUUCAGAACACAUAAAUGAGAACUAGUAGCGUGUUGGUGUAUUUUUAUUCAGAGGGUAGCGUGUUGGUGUAUUUUUAUUCGGAGGGUUGUGAAAGGCUGUAAUGACACCGCCUUGUCAAACAAUCAUAAAUGACUUCACUGAACACGACCUUUUUGCACCAACCCCUACUGGAGCCAAACACUCACAGUGGAGCUAGCUUGGCAUUUGGGAAGUGAGAUGACAGCAGCGUCCUUCUUUCACACAUGUUCAUUUAAAAUCUAUGGAAAAUAAAGACAGUAUAAAGAAGAAAAUAAACACAACCUGUAAAAAGCACUAUCAACAUUAUGGUAUACUGUUUCCCUCACUAUCAAAAGGUCAACAGAUGGAGACCAUCCUGGUCAACACAGUGAAACCCCGUCUCUACUAAAAAUAUAAAAAUUAGCUGGGCGUCGUGGUACGCGCCUGUAGUCCCAGCUAUCUAAACAUUAUCCAUCCAUAUCCAAAUGGUACUUGAAGUAACCCAUUGGAAAACAGAAAUCAUUCCAAUUUAUCCUGAACCCCACAUGAACCUCCGCCUUGGGGCCCUGCAUACCUUCGCACACCUAUGCUGACUGCGCUCUCCAGCGAGAGCUAAGCUCGUGCUGCCUGGUCAUGAUGACCUGUGGGAAACAUCGUGAAACCCUGUUUUCUAAACAACAAACACCACCAACAAAAAUCCCCAACAUUCUUCAAAUCACUCAGGUCAUUCAGCAGUAUCCCUGACAUGGUAUUCCCAGGAUAGUGUCUAUAAACUAAACACCAUGAAACAGUUUUUUUUAAAGUUAAUAGACUGAGUUACAAGACAGCUUAACAGUUUAGUCCCAGUUUCUAUGUCACCCAUGUGGCAAAAUUUCAGGUGAAAGAUUUGCUUCCAUAUUUUACUUCAUCACUUCCUUUUCUCACUAAUUAAAUUUAGAAUUUAGCAAACCUAAAAUGAAAAAUAAGGAAAGGAAAGAAGCAACAAAAAGUCAAACAGGAAGAAUGGUCUUGAGGAAAAACUAGAGGGCCAGGAAAGGCAGCUAAUGUAACUGGAAAAAUACUCACUGGGGCAAUGAAAUGUGAUGGAAGGGGCAGGCCACCAAAGGAGCCGCACAAGGUAAUGGACAGUCACACAGUUCCAGGGUCAAACCACAUGAGUCCAAAUCCUAUAUCCUUCACUACUAUGGGAAAGUAAUUUCACUUCUCUAAACUCCUGUCACCUUACCUGUAAAAUGGAUAUAACUACAACUACUUCAUCGUUUUAUUAUGGGGAUUAAAAGAGAUGAGUGACAGAGCAUCUGGCACAUGGUCAGAACUAAAUAAGUGUUACCUGCUAUGCUAUCAUUAUCAUUACUAACAUCACUAACAGUCCCGUAAGUUGAAACUUUUCAAAAUUCUAAUAUAUUAGCUCAAGAGCACUUUACACUUCUCAAUAAGAAUUUGUGUUUAAAAAUUCCAGUAUCAGAUGCACUUAGAAUU
Molecule: long non-coding RNA, 1609 nt
Filed under: Homo sapiens (human)
Lineage: Eukaryota; Metazoa; Chordata; Mammalia; Primates; Hominidae
Description: non-protein coding lnc-FOXC1-10:2
Source: RNAcentral